This 140-nucleotide ribosomal RNA is filed under the name Sciaphila densiflora. Lineage: Eukaryota; Viridiplantae; Streptophyta; Magnoliopsida; Pandanales; Triuridaceae. The record is from RNAcentral.
AUUCUGGUGUACUCGGCGUGGAGGAGUCACACCAAUCCAUCCCGAACUUGGUGGUUAAACUCUACUGCAGUGACGAUACUUUAGGGGGGGCCCUACGGAAAAAAAGCUCGUUGCCAGAAUGAUAAACACCUCUCAAAAAC